CCUACGGGAGGCAGCAGUGAGGAAUAUUGGUCAAUGGACGAGAGUCUGAACCAGCCAAGUAGCGUGAAGGAUGACUACCCUAUGGGUUGUAAACUUCUUUUAUAUGGGAAUAAAAUGUUCCACGUGUGGGAUUUUGUAUGUACCAUAUGAAUAAGGAUCGGCUAACUCCGUGCCAGCAGCCGCGGUAAUACGGAGGAUCCGAGCGUUAUCCGGUUUUAUUGGGUUUAAAGGGAGAGUAGGUGGAUUGUUAAGUCAGUUGUGAAAGUGUGCGGCGCAACCGUAAAAUUGCAGUUGAAACUGGCAGUCGUGAGUACAGUAGAGGUGGGCGGAAUUCGUGGUGUAGCGGUGAAAUGCUUAGAUAUCACGAAGAACUCCGAUUGCGAAGGCAGCUCACUGGACUGCAACUGACACUGAGGCUCGAAAGUGUGGGUAUCAAACAGGAUUAGAUACCCCUGUAGUC
Molecule: ribosomal RNA, 460 nt
Filed under: uncultured bacterium
Lineage: Bacteria
Description: partial 16S ribosomal RNA
Rfam family: Bacterial small subunit ribosomal RNA
Source: RNAcentral